GACGAACGCUGGCGGCGUGCUUAACACAUGCAAGUCGAACGGAAAGGCCCUGCUUUUGUGGGGUGCUCGAGUGGCGAACGGGUGAGUAACACGUGAGUAACCUGCCCUUGACUUUGGGAUAACUUCAGGAAACUGGGGCUAAUACCGGAUAGGAGCUCCUGCUGCAUGGUGGGGGUUGGAAAGUUUCGGCGGUUGGGGAUGGACUCGCGGCUUAUCCGCUUGUUGGUGGGGUAGUGGCUUACCAAGGCUUUGACGGGUAGCCGGCCUGAGAGGGUGACCGGCCACAUUGGGACGGAGAUACGGCCCAGACUCCUACGGGAGGCAGCAGUGGAGAAUAGUGCACAAUGGGCGGAAGCCUGAUGCAGCAACGCCGCGUGCGGGAUGACGGCCUUCGGGUUGUAAACCGCUUUCGCCUGUGACGAAGCGUGAGUGACGGUAAUGGGUAAAGAAGCACCGGCUAACUACGUG
Molecule: ribosomal RNA, 468 nt
Filed under: uncultured bacterium
Lineage: Bacteria
Description: partial 16S ribosomal RNA
Rfam family: Bacterial small subunit ribosomal RNA
Source: RNAcentral